Molecule: long non-coding RNA, 991 nt
Filed under: Pan troglodytes (chimpanzee)
Lineage: Eukaryota; Metazoa; Chordata; Mammalia; Primates; Hominidae
Description: long non-coding RNA NONPTRT004273
Source: RNAcentral
CGCGCGGAAAUUCAGCUCAAUGAGAGCAGGUACUUUGGUUGAAUUACUGCUGAAUCUCUAGUGUCAAAACAAUGCCUACCACGUCGUAGAUACGCAAUAAAUACUUGUUGAACUGGUGCUUUAGUGUCGCCCAGUUUCUUCAUCAUCCUUCCAAGCCCGGUUCUGCAACCUUCACUCUGGCAGUCCCUGUAUUUACAUGCCCCCAACACUUCUUGUUCUACCACCACACAGAAAGCCUUCAGGCAGCAGCCCAGCCCUGGUCCGCAGACUCUCCUGUGUAGCACUCCCACUCCCUCUGGGGGCAUCGAAAGAAUGAAAGAGGGAAAUUUGGAUGGAUUACACUGAUAAAGAGCUGCUUUCGGCCGGGUGUGGUGGCUCACGCCUGUAAUCCCAGCACUUUGGGAGGCCGAGGCGGGCAGAUCACAAGGUCAAGAGACCGAGACCAGUCUGGCCAACCAUGGCCCGCAUGGUGAAACCCCUUCUUUACUAAAUAUACAAAAAUUAGCUGGGCGUGGUGGCGCAUGCCUGGAGGCUGAGGCAGGAGAAUCGCUUGAACCCGGUAGGCGGAGGUUGCAGCGAGCCGAGAUGGCGCCACUGCACUCCAGCCUGGCGACAGAGGGAGACUCUGUCUCAAACAAAACAACAACAACAACAACAAAAACAAAAAGCUACUUUCUGGAGCAGGAGAAAAACAACUUGAAUUGCCGUGGAGAAACCUUAGACUCUGGUAGCUGUUUAAACUCAUAAAUUGUCCCAGAAGAUUUCUAAUUCCCAAACCAUCAAACCAUCCCUCACAUUUAAUUCAGGAACAUGUUCGGCAAAUGUUUGUGUUUGUACACGAAGUCUCUCAGCGAUCUAAGUUUGACUUGAAGAGCAAUGAGGCAAAAUUCCCAUCUUCCUACCCCACUUUAACUUGGAGAUAAAACCUACUCAAGUUAUACAUACCAGUACUUUCAAAAACCCUUCAACUUAUCUAAGCAUCUCUCUAGCC